Molecule: ribosomal RNA, 380 nt
Filed under: uncultured eukaryote
Lineage: Eukaryota
Description: partial 18S ribosomal RNA
Rfam family: Eukaryotic small subunit ribosomal RNA
Source: RNAcentral
CAAUAGCGUAUAUUAAAGUUGUUGCGGUUAAAAAGCUCGUAGUUGGAUUUCUGCCGAGGACGACCGGUCCGCCCUCCGGGUGAGUAUCUGGUUUGGCCUGGGCAUCUUCUUGGAGAACGUAGCUGCACUUGACUGUGUGGUGCGGUGUCCAGGACUUUUACUUUGAGGAAAUUAGAGUGUUUCAAGCAGGCACACGCCUUGAAUACAUUAGCAUGGAAUAAUAAGAUAGGACCUCGGUUCUAUUUUGUUGGUUUCUAGAGCUGAGGUAAUGAUUAAUAGGGAUAGUUGGGGGCAUUCGUAUUUAACUGUCAGAGGUGAAAUUCUUGGAUUUGUUAAAGACGGACUACUGCGAGAGCAUUUGCCAAGGAUGUUUUCAUUGA